RNAcentral lists this ribosomal RNA (321 nucleotides) under uncultured soil bacterium. RNAcentral describes it as "bacterial SSU rRNA". It matches the Rfam family "Bacterial small subunit ribosomal RNA", at positions 26 to 351 of the family's 1533-position model. The record is from RNAcentral.
AGAUUGAACGCUGGCGGCAUGCCUUACACAUGCAAGUCGAACGGCAGCACGGGAGCAAUCCUGGUGGCGAGUGGCGAACGGGUGAGUAAUAUAUCGGAACGUGCCCAGUCGUGGGGGAUAACGCAGCGAAAGCUGUGCUAAUACCGCAUACGAUCUAUGGAUGAAAGCGGGGGAUCGCAAGACCUCGCGCGAUUGGAGCGGCCGAUAUCAGAUUAGCUAGUUGGUGGGGUAAAAGCCUACCAAGGCGACGAUCUGUAGCUGGUCUGAGAGGACGACCAGCCACACUGGAACUGAGACACGGUCCAGACUCGUACGGAGCAG